Pseudomonas sp. M47T1 is the source of this 131-nucleotide regulatory RNA element. It matches the Rfam family "radC RNA". The record is from Rfam. NCBI's taxonomy places the organism in Bacteria, Pseudomonadati, Pseudomonadota, Gammaproteobacteria, Pseudomonadales, Pseudomonadaceae.
UCGAUUGUACCCUGCUGCAAACCGCAGCCAGACAGCCCGAACCUUCAAGGUUGAGUCACCACGGUGACCGGUUCAUCCCAAGUGCGAUUCGCGUUCGGAAGCUCGCACGGUCACCUCGCGGUGAUGAGCGC